This 364-nucleotide ribosomal RNA is filed under the name uncultured bacterium. Its description in RNAcentral is "partial 16S ribosomal RNA". It matches the Rfam family "Bacterial small subunit ribosomal RNA", at positions 338 to 699 of the family's 1533-position model. The record is from RNAcentral.
CCUACGGGUGGCUGCAGUGAGGAAUAUUGGUCAAUGGGCGUAAGCCUGAACCAGCCAUGCCGCGUGAAGGUCAGUGCCCUAUGGGCGGUAAACUUCUUUUGUGCGGGAGCAAUAAUGGUCACGUGUGGCCAGACGCUAGUACCGUACGCAUACGCAUCGGCUAACUCCGUGCCAGCAGCCGCGGUAAUACGGGGGAUGCAAGCGUUAUCCGGAUUUAUUGGGUUUAAAGGGUGCGUAGGCUGUGAGGUAAGUCAGCGGGGGAAUGCCCCCGCUCAACGGGGUGAGGUGCCAUUGAUACUGGCUUGCUGGAAUGCGGAUGCCGUGGGAGGAAUGUGUGGUGUAGCGGUGAAAUGCAUAGAUAUCA